AAUGGCCGCAGUACUUUGACUGUGCAAAGGUAGCAUAAUCACUUGCUUCUUAAUUAGGAGCUGGAAUGAAAGAGGCGACGAAAUCUAGACUAUUUAGAUUUUAAAAGAAAUUGACACACACGUCAAAAGGCUUGUAUAAACCARAGGGACGAUAAGACCCUAUAAAACUUUACUUUUUGUGUGGCUUUUAACAGAAUACUUUUACACUAAAGAGUUUAACUGGGGCGGUAUUUAUAAAAACAAUUAAAUAUUUAAUAUAUUAAAUAAUAUAGUAGAACUCUUAGAGAAAUAGAACAAGUUACUUUAGGGAUAACAGCGUAAUUCUCCCAGAGAGUCCUAAUUGGCGGGGGAGCUUACGACCUCGAUGUUGAAUUGGG
Molecule: ribosomal RNA, 377 nt
Filed under: Proasellus sp. Lesduyes
Lineage: Eukaryota; Metazoa; Arthropoda; Malacostraca; Isopoda; Asellidae
Description: partial 16S ribosomal RNA
Rfam family: Bacterial large subunit ribosomal RNA
Source: RNAcentral